This 421-nucleotide ribosomal RNA is filed under the name Fusobacteriota bacterium. RNAcentral's name for it is "Fusobacteria bacterium partial 16S ribosomal RNA". It matches the Rfam family "Bacterial small subunit ribosomal RNA", at positions 355 to 776 of the family's 1533-position model. Lineage: Bacteria; Fusobacteriati; Fusobacteriota. The record is from RNAcentral.
UGGGGAAUAUUGCACAAUGGACGGAAGUUUGAUGCAGCGACGCCGCGUGGAGGGUGUAGGCCUUAGGGUUGUGAACUCCUUUUUCUCGCGAAAAAGGCACAGUUUUGGCUGUGUUGAUGGUAGUGGGGGAAGAAGCGCCGGCUAACUACGUGCCAGCAGCCGCGGUAAUACGUAGGGCGCGAGCGUUGUCCGGAUUUAUUGGGCGUAAAGAGCUCGUAGGUGGUUCGUCGCGUCUGUCGUGAAAGCCAGCAGCUUAACUGUUGGUCUGCGGUGGGUACGGGCGGGCUUGAGUGCGGUAGGGGUGACUGGAAUUCCUGGUGUAGCGGUGGAAUGCGCAGAUAUCAGGAGGAACACCGAUGGCGAAGGCAGGUCACUGGGCCGUUACUGACACUGAGGAGCUAAAGCGUGGGGAGCGAACAGG